UUAAAAGCGAAGAAAAGGACAUGAGUCAUUUUUACUGGUUAUCAGAGAGGGAAGUUACGCUGAAAUCUUCCUAGCGCAGAAAAAUGUCUUACCACCUUUGAGCUGUAUUGGGGAAAUCAUAGUAUCCAAUAUCGUCUACGCCACGUUACGGCACCAGAGCCAUAAAGCGAAUACGCGUUAUGGGAAUUUGGGUGGAACCACGGAUCACACAUUCGUCCCUUUA
This 223-nucleotide non-coding RNA is filed under the name Bacillus pumilus. Its description in RNAcentral is "T-box sequence". It matches the Rfam family "T-box leader". Rfam says of the family: Uncharged tRNA acts as the effector for transcription antitermination of genes in the T-box leader family. T-boxes are found upstream of many aminoacyl-tRNA synthetase genes and some amino acid biosynthetic genes usually in Gram-positive bacteria. Lineage: Bacteria; Bacillati; Bacillota; Bacilli; Caryophanales; Bacillaceae. The record is from RNAcentral.